This 400-nucleotide ribosomal RNA is filed under the name uncultured bacterium. RNAcentral describes it as "bacterial SSU rRNA". It matches the Rfam family "Bacterial small subunit ribosomal RNA", at positions 355 to 752 of the family's 1533-position model. The record is from RNAcentral.
UGAGGAAUAUUGGUCAAUGGGCGAGAGCCUGAACCAGCCAAGUCGCGUGAAGGAAGAAGGAUCUAUGGUUCGUAAACUUCUUUUUUAGGGGAAUAAAGUGCGGUACGUGUACCGUUUUGUAUGUACCCUACGAAUAAGGAUCGGCUAACUCCGUGCCAGCAGCCGCGGUAAUACGGAGGAUCCGAGCGUUAUCCGGAUUUAUUGGGUUUAAAGGGUGCGUAGGCGGAAGAAUAAGUCAGUGGUGAAAGUUUGCAGCUCAACUGUAAAAUUGCCGUUGAAACUGUUUUUCUUGAGUGUAAAUGAGGUAGGCGGAAUGUGUUGUGUAGCGGUGAAAUGCUUAGAUAUGACACAGAACACCGAUUGCGAAGGCAGCUUACUAAGAUACAACUGACGCUGAGGC